This is an RNA transcript of Lotus japonicus, 3267 nucleotides long. It is a transcript of the gene named conserved oligomeric Golgi complex subunit 3, with no coding region annotated. The record is from RefSeq and is a predicted model, not a curated record. Lineage: Eukaryota; Viridiplantae; Streptophyta; Magnoliopsida; Fabales; Fabaceae. The transcript is spliced from 23 exons.
GUUUGGGUUUGAAGAGAAACCGGGAGCUUUGUUGAGUCUGUUAUGUAAGGAAGGAGAGAAGGGAAGACGAAGCAGUUGCAGUUGCAGUUGCAGUUGCAGAAGCAGAGAAAGACGACGAAGCUGUGAGUGAGGAAAAUGGGAAGCAGAGGUCCUCCACCUCAAUCCCAUCCAAAUUCCGCUGCCAUUUCAAGGGGCUACAACUUCGCUUUCACUUGGGAACAGAAUGCUCCAUUGACAGAGCACCAACAAGCCGCGAUUUCAUCGCUUUCUCAUGCAGUUUCUGAACGACCAUUGCCUCUCAAGCACGCUCAGGAGAUUGCGUCGGUGCAAGAGAAUACGUUGUCGGUUAAAACUGAGGAUAACUGUUUCGAUGAUUCCGGCGCUAUUCAGGCUGUUAUGGUUAAUACCAAUCAGUUCUAUAAAUGGUUUAUGGAUCUUGAAUCUGCCAUGAAAUCAGAGACAGAAGAGAAAUAUCAACAUUACGUGAACACUCUUACCGAGCGCAUACAAACAUGUGAUGAUAUUCUCCAACAGGUUGAUGACACCCUAGACUUAUUCAAUGAACUGCAGUUGCAGCAUCAGGCAGUAGCUACAAAGACUAAAACACUUCACGAUGCAUGUGACCGAAUGGUACAGGAGAAGCAAAGACUGAUUGAUUUUGCUGAAGCACUUCGUAGUAAACUCAAUUACUUUGAUGAACUGGAGAAUGUUGCUACCAAUUUUUAUUCUCCAAACAUGAAUGUUGGAAAUGAAAACUUUCUACCUCUUCUCAAAAGGCUUGAUGAAUGUAUCUCGUAUGUUGAAAGCAAUCCACAGUAUGCUGAAUCCAGUGUUUACUUGCUUAAAUUUCGGCAACUCCAGUCUCGGGCAUUGGGCAUGAUGCGUUCUCAUGUACUUGCUGUUCUUAAAGGUGCCUCAUCUCAGGUCCAGGAAGCAAUUCGUGGAAGUGGGGAUGGCAAAACAUCUAUCUCUGAGGGAGUAGAGGCUUCUGUAAUAUAUGUUCGCUUCAAGGCAGCAGCAAGUGAGCUUAAGCCACUGCUUGAAGAAAUUGAAAGUAGGUCUUCAAGGAAAGAAUAUGGUCAAAUCCUUGCAGAAUGCCACAGAUUAUACUGUGAGCAGCGCCUCUCUUUGAUAAGAGCUAUAGUUCAGCGACGAAUAUCUGAAUUUUCCAAGAAAGAGUCCUUGCCAUCCUUGACCAGAUCAGGAUGUGCAUAUCUAAUACAGGUCUGUCAACUUGAACAUCAGCUCUUCGAUCAUUUUUUCCCUGUGUCUUCAAAGGAUAUUUCAAGUUUAGCUCCAUUAAUGGAUCCUCUGUCAACAUAUUUGUAUGAUACACUGCGUCCCAAAAUUGUUCAUGAAACAAAUAUUGAUUUUCUUUGUGAGCUUGUUGAUAUACUUAGAAUGGAAGUCCUGGGGGAACAUCAUAGUAGAAGGAGUGAAUCACUAGCUGGUCUUCGUCCUACAUUUGAAAGAAUUUUAGCAGAUGUGCAUGAGCGGUUGACAUUUCGUGCUCGGACUCAUGUACGGGAUGAGAUUGCGAAUUACAUACCAACUAAUGAAGACUUGGACUAUCCUGAAAGGCUGAAGAGGUCUGCUGAUAGUACAUCGGAGAUCAAUCCUGCUGAUGACAACCCAGAUAUAUCUAAGACAUGGUAUCCACCCCUAGAAAAAACUCUAGCAUGUCUUUCAAAGCUGUAUCGUUGUUUAGAGUCAGAAGUAUUCACUGGUUUAGCACAGGAAGCCGUGGAGGUUUGUUCAACAUCUAUUCAGAAAGCAAGCAAAUUAAUUGCAAAGAGAUCAUCACAAAUGGAUGGGCAGCUCUUUCUUAUAAAACAUCUUUUAAUUUUAAGGGAGCAGAUUGCACCGUUCAAUAUUGAAUUUUCAGUCACACAAAAGGAACUUGACUUCUCUCAUUUGCUGGAGCAUCUACGAAGACUUCUAAGAGGUCAAGCCUCACUAUUUGACUGGUCAAGGUCAACUUCAUUGGCGAGGACCUUGUCUCCAAGAGUUUUGGAAAAUCAAAUUGAUACCAAGAAGGGGGCAACAAGAAUUGAACUUUAGACCAUUGGGUUAUAGAGCUCCAGUACUGUAUGGAGUGGGAUGGCAACGGUACCCGGACCUGGACACGCUCCUCUACCCGCGGGUAUUUACCCGGACCCGUCUCUGAAUAAAUGGGUACCCGUUUAACGGGUCCGGGUACCCGCGGGUCCCCAUAUCUUUUUUUUGUUUUCUUUUUUAUUUAUUCCAUACAAUAUUUUCUGCUCCUUUACUUUAAGAAAUUCAUUAAGAUAUACAAUAAAUCCUUCAUGCUAGAAUUUUCACAUAUCACAAAAAUAGUCACAAAUAUGCAUGUAUUUUGUUUUGGGGAAUUUGUUCAUUGGAAUUAUUUUAUUCAAAGUUUCACAGAUGUAUAAAAAGUAAAAUCAUGAAACACAGGUUUGUGUGUCAAUUUUCUGGAGCAUAGGUCUUGGGGGAAAAAGCUUUUUGUUAUUGUUGUUCAUUAUGAUGAGUAGAAAAUAUAUCAGAACUUUGAGAUGCAACUAGAGAUAGUUUUUAUGCGUGUUUUAAAAUCAUGAAUAAUACUUGUUGAGUUUAUUCACGUAGCAGAAAGUGCUCUUUCUUGUAAACUUUAAAUAUCUUGAUAUGUAGAACCAAAUGGAAUAAAAAUAUCUAUGCUACUGAAUAAUAUUCACCUGGAAUAAAUUUUUAAUAAUAAAUGGGUACCCGUGGGUACCUGGACCCGGACCCGCCCCGUUUCUAAAUGGGUAGUAAAAAUAUCCGCUUCAUCUGCCCGCGGGUCCAAUUACCUAAGCGGGUAUUUACCCGCGGGUCCGGGUAUUUUGCCAUCCCUAGUAUGGACCUACUAUCUCAAAAACAAACAAUUAAGUGAAAGCACAUGUGUAGUUUUAUAUUUAACAUUUUGGCGGUAAAUUGGUAGUUUGUUACUAUCCCCUUAUACAAAAAUUAGAUGAGAAAACAUUGAUUAGACAUAACCCUCUCAAAAUUUAAGUUUAAAUUAUCUACUUUGGCAUUUGGCCCUUGAACUAUUUAAUUUGAUUUUGAUGUGCAUACAUAUGUGAUCAGCCAUUGAAUAUGCGAUAGUCUAUACCCAGCAGUAGUUGAUUGGAUAAUUACUAAAGUGGAACUUUCAGUGAAGAUGAGGAAUGAGAGGAGCUGGAAAAAAGCCUUAAAGCCACGUGCGAAGAGUUCAUCAUGGCAGUUACUAAGCUAGUUGUGGAUCCUUUGCUUUCAUUUGUUACAAAGGUU